Molecule: long non-coding RNA, 5172 nt
Organism: Bos taurus (domestic cattle)
Lineage: Eukaryota; Metazoa; Chordata; Mammalia; Artiodactyla; Bovidae
Source: Ensembl
GUGGCAAAAGAUAACAUAAAAUCUUUGUUGUGAAUUAGUCAGUAGGGUCUGACACAUGCUAACAAGGUUCCUGACUAGUGCCUCAGUAUUUCAGCACCUUAAGCAUGAUAAGGGCUUCCCUGGUGGCUCAGACAGUAAAGCAUCUGCCUGCAAUACAGGAGACCUGGGUUCAAUCCCUGGGUCGGGAAGAUCCCCUGGAGAAGGAAAUGGCAACCCACUCCAGUACUCUUGCCUGGAAAAUUCCAUGGACAGAGAAGCCUGGUAGGCUACAGUCCAUGGGAUCACAAAGAGUCAGACAUGACUGAGCAACUCCACUUCAAGCAUGAUAAAAUUCAGUCAACAAUAAAGUGAGUGUUUCAACUAGAAAAAAGAAUUUAAUAGUGGGAAAUCUUUACAUUUGGCCUUUAAAAGUUACUGUUAACUGAGGACCUAUUAGGUACCAAGCAUAGGACUAGGUUUCUCAGGUGAUGCUAGUGGUAAAGAACAUGUCUGCCAACGUAGGAGACAUAAGAGACGCGGGUUCAGUCCUUGGGUUGGGAAGAUCCCCUGGAGGAGGGCAUGGCAACCCACUCCAGUGUUCUUCCCUAGUGAAUCCUAUGGACAGAGAAUCCUGGUGGGCUACAGUCCAUGGGGUUGCAGAGUCAGACACUACUAAAGUGACUUAAUACAGUACUGAGAGUUAACUUUGGCAGGUUGAUAAGGAGUCCAAGCCUAAGGCCCCUUUAUGGAGGAGGUAAGCAUUCUUUUUCACAUUCUUUUGCUAUAGACAAAUAGGCCUUGUAGGCAGCAGUAUUUCUUGUUCAAGGACAUGCCUCUUUUUGAGCUUUGGAUGUAUUUUAUGGGGGAAAGUCUGGGUAAAAACUUCCACAGCCUUGGGCUCUGGAUUAACCUGUUCCUUCUGACUAAUCUAGUGCUGAUGUCAUCCCAGGAUGUAUGUUACAGGAAAGGGUCAGCAAAGUUCUCACAGCCUUAAGGUAUUUUUUGUCUAUUCUCAGAUGUAUAUAAGGCCCUACUUAAAUUAGUGAGGUGCGUACUCUUCUGCCCCCUUCUGAUAUCUAUGUCAGAAGCUUUUUCUGUCACUUUCACUUUAAAUAAAAUCUACACAAAGCUCUGAGUGACUGAGACUGUCUUUGGUCCCAGAGUUAAAUCUCCUUCGGAGACCAUGAAUCCAGCGGCACUGUUCACUGUUUACCAAUAAGCUAUCAUCUUUGGUGCUCGUCCAGGAUCUUCAAGACAAGAUAUAAAGAAGCUCUUCUUCUCAAGUUACUGAUGGUUUAAAGCAAUUUAAUGAUUUACAUCUAUGGGUAAAAUUAAAACAUUUUUCUUCUCUCUCUGCCUCGUCCCUCCGAAAUUGGAGACACUUGGGUUCUGGACAGCCUUAUCAAGACACAAACACAUUGCUGCUAUGCUGCUGCUGCUGCUAAGUCGCUUCAGUCCUGUCCAACUCUGUGUGACCCCAUAGAUGGCAGCCCACCAGGCUCCCCUGUCCCUGGGAUUCUCCAGGCAAGAACACUGGAGUGGGUUGCCAUUUCCUUAUCCAAUGCGUGAAAGUGAAGUCGCUCAGAACGCCCUGCUGCUGCUGCUGCUAAGUUGCUUCAGUCGUGUCUGACUCUGUGCGACCCCAUAGAUGGCAGCUCACCAGGCUUCCCCGUCCGUGGAAUUCUCCAGGCAAGAACACUGGAGUGGGUUGCCAUUUCCUUCUCCAAUGCAUGAAAGUGAAAAGUGAAAGUGAAGUUGCUCAAUCGUGUCCCACUCUUAGCAACCCCAUGGACUGCAGCCUACCAGGCUCCCCCAUCCCUGGGGUUCUCCAGGCAAGAACACUGGAGUGGGUUGCCAUUUCCUUCUCCAAUGCAUGAAAGUGAAAAGUGAAAGUGAAGUCGCUCAGUCGUGUCUGACUCUGGCGACCUCAUGGACUGCAGCCUCCCAGGCUCCUCCGUCCGUAGGAUUUUCCAGGCAAAAGUACUGGAGUGGGGUGCCAUUGCCUUCUCCGAGGAACACCCUUCAAGAUAUUUAUUCUUCUGUACUAUCUCUCCCACUACUUCACCAUUUUCUUCUUAGAAUGUCUCUUAAUGUCAUUUCUGAGUUUCUAUUUUCAGCUACCUUCUCACUAUUCUCCCUGGUCAGUUUCAUCCUAUCACAUGGCCUCAACUCUUACCUUUAUACAGAUGACUCCCAAAUCUACCUCUGUGUGAACUUUACUGAGCAGAGUCAGAGUUCAAAUGGUCUACUGGGCAAGUCUAUAUAAUAUUCUCCCAGAAAAAUCAUGACUCAAUAUGUUCAAAUGUGAAGUCUUACUCACACUCCUUCAUUGUUUCCUAUAUCUCCUCAUCCUCUAGCUUGAUUUCUCUAUCUCUAGAUAGUGUCACUACCAUCCUCACAUCACUCAGGCCAAAAAGUUCAUCACCUAAAACUCUCCAUAUGCCCAGUAAUUCUGCAAUGUCUCAUAUCUGUCCCUUCUCUCUAUCUUCAUAGUCCCUCCUCCUUCUGCUUCUUUUUUUUCCUCUUUUCCUCUUUCUUUGUUCUUGCUAUCAAAGUGUGACCAGUAGUCCAGCAACAUCAGCAUCAUUUGGGGAGACUAUUAGAAUGCAGAAUAUUGGGCCCCAUCUAAAGAUCUAUUCAAUCAGAAUCUGCAUUUUAACAAAAUCCGUGCUGCUGCUGCUAAGUCACUUCAGUCGUGUCCAACUCUGUGUGACCCCAUAGACGGCAGCCACCAGGCUCCCCCAUCCCUGGGAUUCUCCAGGCAAGAACACUGGAGUGGGUUGCCAUUUCCUUCUCCAAUGCAUGAAAGUGAAAAGUGAAAGUGAAGUCGCUCAGUCGUGUCCAACUCUUCGCGACCCCAUGGACUGCAGCCUACCAGGCUCCUCCAUCCAUGGGAUUUUCCAGGCAAGAGUACUGGAGUGGGGUUCCAUUGCCUUCUCCAAACAAAAUCCCUAGAUAAUUCAUAUGCACAUUAAAGUACAGUUAGCAACUCCCUAGUUAAGUCUCAAUCAGGAUAGGUAUAAGUCCUCACCAGUGUAUAACCUAUGCACCAUGUUAGUGGCACUCAAGCCCAGCUGCACAUCAGAAUACCUGAGAAGUCUUCAAUUUUCCAUUUAUCUUUUUAUUAUUUAAUCUUUUUAAAAAUAAUACAUUUAUUAGUUGUUUCUUCAAUAGAGAAAUACAAAGAAGGAAAUUACAGUUGAAUUAUGCCUUGCCCAGAUAAUGCCAAAUGACUUUUCUUUUUUGACAAAAGGAAAAUUUACCUAAGGUUAGGCAACUCAAACAGAAUAAAAUAUACAAAAUGAAGAACUGCUAGCACCACCUCAAUUCCAACUCUUUUUCUCAAAUAUUGCUGUUCUUAAUCAGAAUUAACAUCCUAGGAAAUAAUUAACCACAUACCUGCAUAUAUGUUUAUUCUUUUGUUUAAAAAGUAUAAAUUACUCCCUUUUAAUCAUCAUGAUUUUUAUAUUUAAUAUAUCUUAUUUUUCUACAAGCAUAUACAGAGCAUUUCAUAAUUGUUAAACCACAUGGUAUUCCAUUAGAUAGAUGAUUCCAUCUGAUGGAUCAAUUCCCUAUUGACAAGUACUUUGACUGCUUCCAGUUUUAGCUAUUACAAACAAUGCUGCAGUUACCAUGCAUCAGCAUAUGUGUGUGUGUGUGUGUGCACACACGCGCCCGCGCUGUGUUUAGUCGUGUCCAACUCUUAGUGACUCUAUGGACCGUAGCCUGCCAGGCUCCUCUGCCCAUGGGAUUUUUCAGGCAAGAAUACUGGAGUGGGUAGACAUUUCCUUCUCCAGGGGAUCUUCCCGACCCAGAGAUUGAACCUGCAUCUCUUGCAUUGCAGGCGGCUUCUUUACCUCUGAGCCACAAGGGUAGUCUAUCCAUCAGCAUAUAUUUUGAUAAAGUUCUGCAAGUAUAUCCAUAGGGUAAAUUUUUAGUCCAAAAUUGCUGAAUAUAUUGGUUAGGGUGAUUUUGGUUACAAGUAACGAAACACAAUUCCAGGGGUAGGGUGAGCUAGAGCUACCCAGUUUCUUUAAGUGUCUCUACUGUGCAGUCCCUACUUUAUCCAAGUAGUUUUUUUCAGUGUGAUCCCUGGACCAGCAGCAUCAAUCUCACCUGAGAAUUUCUUAGAAAAGGAAAUCCUUUGUCCCUACCACAGAUCUGCAGAAUUUGAAACUCUGAAAGUAGAUAAAGAUCAGCAAUCUAUGUUUUAACAGAUUAGGUGAUUCUGAUGAACACUAAAGACUGAGAACCAGUGCUUUAAGCCAAGGUGCCAAUGAAAUCGCUGACAGUGGCAAUGGAAGCUUUGAAUCUCUUCAUCAAGUCCAGCAGAGAAGAGAAAACUCUGACCCAACAUUCCAAGUAAGUAGGACUCCCAUGGUUCUCCCUCACUGACUUGCUUAGGUCACAAGUCCUCUGAACUAAUGUUGUUUGUGGUCAGAAGAACUGAGAAUAAAAUCUGUUUACCCGCAAAUACGUGGGCUAUGAGUGGGAAGAAUAGACACAUAAAUAAAAAUCUACAACUUCUUGGGAAGGAAAAAAAUGGGGAAUGAUUACUGAGAAGGCACGAGCAACACCUACAACAUUCAAAGAAUAUCUGCAUGUUUUAUUUUGAUAUAUUCUACCAAAUUAUACAUCAAAAAAGUUGUAACAACGUCAAGCCCACCAGCAGCAUAUGAAAACAUCUAGGAUUUCUUCAUACCCUGACUUACUCUGUUUAAAUCAUACUUUAAACAUUUCCCAGUCUUAUAGAUAAAGAUGGCAUUUUAUUGUUUUGAUUUAUAUGCCUUUACUCAUGGAUGAAAUUAAACAUCUUUUCAAAUCUCUAUUGAUGUGUGCAUGUCUUUCUCUGUAGAUUACUUGCUUAUUCUUUAGCUCACUUUACUAUUGGGUUUUGUCUUUUUCAUGUUAGUUCUUCUGAAUUUGUUGUAAAUUAAAUUAGCCUUUUAUCAUAUAUGAUGCAAAUAUGUUUUCCCAGCUUUGUUGACCUUUUGAAUUUGUUUAUGGUAUUCUCCCCCACCCUCCCGCCACCAAAGCUUUAACUUUUAUGCAGUGAAAUUCAUCAGUAUUUUUCUUUACUGGAAUCUGUAUUUGGGAUUUUGCUUUAAAAGGGCCUUCCCCCAUGUCCACCUUUCCAGGUGAACAUCAGUCAAGUCUGUAAAGCUUUUAAAAAUUAAGGAUGCUGGGCCUCCA